This 690-nucleotide ribosomal RNA is filed under the name uncultured bacterium. Its description in RNAcentral is "bacterial SSU rRNA". It matches the Rfam family "Bacterial small subunit ribosomal RNA", at positions 141 to 851 of the family's 1533-position model. The record is from RNAcentral.
GGAUAACAUACCGAAAGGUAUGCUAAUACGGGAUAAUAUAUUUGAGAGGCAUCUCUUAAAUAUCAAAGGUGAGCCAGUACAGGAUGGACCCGCGUCUGAUUAGCUAGUUGGUAAGGUAACGGCUUACCAAGGCGACGAUCAGUAGCCGACCUGAGAGGGUGAUCGGCCACAUUGGAACUGAGACACGGUCCAAACUCCUACGGGAGGCAGCAGUGGGGAAUAUUGCACAAUGGGCGAAAGCCUGAUGCAGCAACGCCGCGUGAGUGAUGAAGGCCUUCGGGUCGUAAAACUCUGUCCUCAAGGAAGAUAAUGACGGUACUUGAGGAGGAAGCCCCGGCUAACUACGUGCCAGCAGCCGCGGUAAUACGUAGGGGGCUAGCGUUAUCCGGAUUUACUGGGCGUAAAGGGUGCGUAGGCGGUCUUUCAAGUCAGGAGUGAAAGGCUACGGCUCAACCGUAGUAAGCUCUUGAAACUGGGAGACUUGAGUGCAGGAGAGGAGAGUGGAAUUCCUAGUGUAGCGGUGAAAUGCGUAGAUAUUAGGAGGAACACCAGUUGCGAAGGCGGCUCUCUGGACUGUAACUGACGCUGAGGCACGAAAGCGUGGGGAGCAAACAGGAUUAGAUACCCUGGUAGUCCACGCUGUAAACGAUGAAUGCUAGGUGUCGGGGGUUACCCCCUUCGGUGCCGCAG